RNAcentral lists this non-coding RNA (261 nucleotides) under Paramaledivibacter caminithermalis. RNAcentral's name for it is "Clostridium caminithermale T-box sequence". It matches the Rfam family "T-box leader". From Rfam's summary of the family: Uncharged tRNA acts as the effector for transcription antitermination of genes in the T-box leader family. The record is from RNAcentral. Lineage: Bacteria; Bacillati; Bacillota; Clostridia; Peptostreptococcales; Caminicellaceae.
UAAAAAACUGUGAAGAGAAGAGUAGAUGCAAGGCAGAGUUUUAGCGAGCUGGUUAUGGUGGGAGUCCAGUACGAAGUCUGUAUUGAAGAACGUCUCUGAGUUUCUAACCGAAAGUCCUUAAUGGAUAAGUAGACUUAGACGGAGCCAAACCGUUAUUAAUUGGGCAGUAUCGAGUAGAAAUAAGUCUAUUCUGUACUUGUUAAGAGAGCAAUUUAUUGCUAAUUUGGGUGGUACCGCGGAAGUAAGCCUUUCGUCCCUUGU